This 510-nucleotide ribosomal RNA is filed under the name uncultured Acaulospora. Its description in RNAcentral is "SSU rRNA". It matches the Rfam family "Eukaryotic small subunit ribosomal RNA", at positions 569 to 1078 of the family's 1831-position model. The record is from RNAcentral. Lineage: Eukaryota; Fungi; Glomeromycota; Glomeromycetes; Diversisporales; Acaulosporaceae.
AGCAGCCGCGGUAAUUCCAGCUCCAAUAGCGUAUAUUAAAGUUGUUGCAGUUAAAAAGCUCGUAGUUGAAUUUCGGGAUUUGUCGGUUGGUCGGGCUUCACUGUCCGCACUGGCCUGACGGAUUCCUACCUUCUGAAUAACCAGCAUGCUAUUAAGUUAGUGCGUUGGGGAAGCAGAGCUAUUACCUUGAAAAAAUUAGAGUGCUUAAAGCAGGCUUGUGCUUGAAUAGAUUAGCAUGGAAUAAUAAAAUAGGACGGCAUGGUUCUAUUUUGUUGGUUUCUAGCAUCACCGUAAUGAUUAAUAGGGAUAGUUGGGGGCAUUAGUAUUCAAUUGUCAGAGGUGAAAUUCUUGGAUUUAUUGAAGACUAACUUCUGCGAAAGCAUUUGCCAAGGAUGUUUUCAUUAAUCAAGAACGAAAGUUAGGGGAUCGAAGACGAUCAGAUACCGUCGUAGUCUUAACCAUAAACUAUGCCGACUAGGGAUCGGACGAUGUUAAUUUUUUAAUGACUCG